RNAcentral lists this ribosomal RNA (830 nucleotides) under Bacillus amyloliquefaciens. Its description in RNAcentral is "bacterial SSU rRNA". It matches the Rfam family "Bacterial small subunit ribosomal RNA", at positions 66 to 875 of the family's 1533-position model. Lineage: Bacteria; Bacillati; Bacillota; Bacilli; Caryophanales; Bacillaceae. The record is from RNAcentral.
GCGGACAGAUGGGAGCUUGCUCCCUGAUGUUAGCGGCGGACGGGUGAGUAACACGUGGGUAACCUGCCUGUAAGACUGGGAUAACUCCGGGAAACCGGGGCUAAUACCGGAUGGUUGUUUGAACCGCAUGGUUCAGACAUAAAAGGUGGCUUCGGCUACCACUUACAGAUGGACCCGCGGCGCAUUAGCUAGUUGGUGAGGUAACGGCUCACCAAGGCGACGAUGCGUAGCCGACCUGAGAGGGUGAUCGGCCACACUGGGACUGAGACACGGCCCAGACUCCUACGGGAGGCAGCAGUAGGGAAUCUUCCGCAAUGGACGAAAGUCUGACGGAGCAACGCCGCGUGAGUGAUGAAGGUUUUCGGAUCGUAAAGCUCUGUUGUUAGGGAAGAACAAGUGCCGUUCAAAUAGGGCGGCACCUUGACGGUACCUAACCAGAAAGCCACGGCUAACUACGUGCCAGCAGCCGCGGUAAUACGUAGGUGGCAAGCGUUGUCCGGAAUUAUUGGGCGUAAAGGGCUCGCAGGCGGUUUCUUAAGUCUGAUGUGAAAGCCCCCGGCUCAACCGGGGAGGGUCAUUGGAAACUGGGGAACUUGAGUGCAGAAGAGGAGAGUGGAAUUCCACGUGUAGCGGUGAAAUGCGUAGAGAUGUGGAGGAACACCAGUGGCGAAAGGCGACUCUCUGGUCUGUAACUGACGCUGAGGAGCGAAAGCGUGGGGAGCGAACAGGAUUAAUACCCUGGUAGUCCACGCCGUAAACGAUGAGUGCUAAGUGUUAAGGAGGGUUUCCGCCCCUUAGUGCUGCAGCUAACGCAUUAAGCACUCCGCCUG